Molecule: microRNA precursor, 93 nt
Filed under: Canis lupus dingo (dingo)
Lineage: Eukaryota; Metazoa; Chordata; Mammalia; Carnivora; Canidae
Description: mir-8799 microRNA precursor family
Rfam family: mir-8799 microRNA precursor family
Source: Rfam by way of RNAcentral
AGGGGAGCACAGGAUCCUGGACUAUGUCCCCGGCACCCUGGGAUCCGGAGCCUGUGCUGCUGGAAUCGCGCUCCCAGGGCCACGCAGCCACCU